UGGGGAAUUUUGGACAAUGGGCGCAAGCCUGAUCCAGCCAUGCCGCGUGCGGGAAGAAGGCCUUCGGGUUGUAAACCGCUUUUGUCAGGGAAGAAACGCUCUGGGCUAAUACCCAGGGGUAAUGACGGUACCUGAAGAAUAAGCACCGGCUAACUACGUGCCAGCAGCCGCGGUAAUACGUAGGGUGCAAGCGUUAAUCGGAAUUACUGGGCGUAAAGCGUGCGCAGGCGGUUAUGCAAGACAGAUGUGAAAUCCCCGGGCUCAACCUGGGAACUGCAUUUGUGACUGUAUAGCUAGAGUACGGUAGAGGGGGAUGGAAUUCCGCGUGUAGCAGUGAAAUGCGUAGAUAUGCGGAGGAACACCGAUGGCGAAGGCAAUCCCCUGGAAACCUGUACUGACGCUCAUGCACGAAAGCGUGGGGAGCAAACAGGAUUAGAUACCCUAGUAGUCCCUGAGCGGGCUGGCAAGGCGCAU
This 474-nucleotide ribosomal RNA is filed under the name uncultured bacterium. Its description in RNAcentral is "bacterial SSU rRNA". It matches the Rfam family "Bacterial small subunit ribosomal RNA", at positions 355 to 825 of the family's 1533-position model. The record is from RNAcentral.